CGCGGUAUAGUGACCGUGCGAAGGUAGCAUAAUCAUUAGUCUUUUAAUUGAAGGCUUGUAUGAAUGGUUGGACGAAAAGUGAUCUGUCUCUGUUGAAAUAAUUGAAUUUAACUUUUGAGUGAGAAGGCUUAAAUGAUCUAGAGGGACGAUAAGACCCUAUAAAGUUUAACAUUAUAAUAAUAAAAAGUUAAUUGGAAUUGUAAGAUUUAUUAUUGUGAAUAGUGUUUUGUUGGGGCGACAAGAAUAUAAAUAAUUUAACUGUUCUUUUUUGUAUCAAAGAUAUUUGAGUUAAUGAUCUUUUUAAGAGUAUUAGAGUAAAUUACUUUAGGGAUAACACCGUAAUUUUUUUUGAGAGUUCUUAUCGACAAAAGAGUUUGCGACCUCGAUGUUGAAUUAAAGAUUCUUUAUAAUGCAGAAGUUAUAUAAG
Molecule: ribosomal RNA, 427 nt
Filed under: Euastacus jagara
Lineage: Eukaryota; Metazoa; Arthropoda; Malacostraca; Decapoda; Parastacidae
Description: partial 16S ribosomal RNA
Rfam family: Archaeal large subunit ribosomal RNA
Source: RNAcentral